This 207-nucleotide ribosomal RNA is filed under the name uncultured bacterium. RNAcentral describes it as "partial 16S ribosomal RNA". It matches the Rfam family "Bacterial small subunit ribosomal RNA", at positions 568 to 774 of the family's 1533-position model. The record is from RNAcentral.
CGCGUAGGUGGUUCUGUAUGUCUAUCGUGAAAGCGUACGGCUCAACCGUAUUUGGUCGGUAGAAACUGCAGGACUUGAGGCUGGGAGGGGCUGGUGGAAUUCCCUGUGUAGCGGUGAAAUGCGUAGGGAUGGGGGAGAACACUCGUGGCGAAGGCGGCCAGCUAGACCAGUUCUGACACUGAGGCGCGACAGCGUGGGGAGCAAACA